UGCGUAGGUGGUGAUGCAAGUCUGGUGUGAAAUCUCGGAGCUUAACUCCGAAAUUGCACCGGAUACUGCGUAACUCGAGGACUGUAGAGGAGAUCGGAAUUCACGGUGUAGCAGUGAAAUGCGUAGAUAUCGUGAGGAAGACCAGUUGCGAAGGCGGAUCUCUGGGCAGUUCCUGACACUGAGGCACCGAAAGGGGCCAGGGGGAAGGCAAAACGG
This 216-nucleotide ribosomal RNA is filed under the name uncultured bacterium. Its description in RNAcentral is "partial 16S ribosomal RNA". The stretch from base 1 to 187 matches the Rfam family "Bacterial small subunit ribosomal RNA", at positions 568 to 754 of the family's 1533-position model. The record is from RNAcentral.